CUUGAAUGACUCAGAGGGUACUGAGAAUAUUUCUUGAGCAACAGUUUCUUGUUGGGGAAUAUUAUUUUAAGUUGUGUGACUUUUGAUUAUGCUGCAUUUGUUUAAUUCUGGAAAACUGUGUUACUGUGCCUGUCCAAAACACCCGGUGGUCCUAAUAAAGAGGUGAAUGGCCAAUAGCAAGGUGGGAGCAAGGAUGGGUGGGGCCAGCAGGCAGAAAGGAUAAAUAGAAGGAGAAUAAGGAAGAGGAGAACAAGAACAACAAGAGAAGGACAUCAGGGGCCAGCCAUCCAGCCAUCCAGCCAUCCAGCCAUCCAGCCACCCAGCCACUCAGCCACCCAGCAACCACAGAAAAAAGGAAGAAUGACCAUGAAACUAAUUUGCUGCUCCACCGUAACCGUCCCAAGUGUCAAGCCAGCCACAGGACACUUUCUGCUGAGCUGCUGUUUCUUCAUGAUGUUGGCAAACCCUCGGGAUGCCAUAGGGUCCACAGAACAUUCUCUUCUGGACAAAGAUUCUCUUUCUAAUUUAGCCUUGGAAGGACAAACUCCAUGAUUUUGGGCAGACCAGUUCAAUGCAGCACUCAGCAGCUGACACUGAUUUAUUUGGCUGAUAUCACAUGACCUGUCUCUCGAAGAGAAUGAGAUUGAAGAUUACCAGUGACCUUUCUGCUAAGUUGCUUAGAAUCAUUUGAGCUGUGAAACUUUCUGAUAUCAGUGACAAACCAUGUCUUGAAAACAGCAUCAUUUGGGAAUAAUAAAUCAGCAAAUGUGUAACAGGCCUAUUCACUUAAGAGUCCUGGACACUGCUAAAGACACUAUAUGAGGACUUCAUCAAAU
Molecule: long non-coding RNA, 836 nt
Filed under: Cricetulus griseus (Chinese hamster)
Lineage: Eukaryota; Metazoa; Chordata; Mammalia; Rodentia; Cricetidae
Description: lncRNA (ENSCGRG00015039604.1)
Source: RNAcentral